AGAGUUUGAUCCUGGCUCAGAACGAACGCUGGCGGCGUGCUUAACACAUGCAAGUCGAACGUGAUUCAGAGCUUGCUCUGAUGAAAGUGGCGCACGGGUGAGUAACGCGUGGAUAACCUGCCCUGGUAUCUGGGAUAACAUCUCGAAAGGGGUGCUAAUACCGGAUAAGCCCACGGGAUCUUCGGAUUCUGCGGGAAAAGGAGGCCUCUAUUUAUAAGCUUCCGUAUCAUGAUGGGUCCGCGUACCAUUAGCUAGUUGGUGGGGUAAUGGCCUACCAAGGCGACGAUGGUUAGCUGGUCUGAGAGGAUGAUCAGCCACACUGGAACUGAGACACGGUCCAGACUCCUACGGGAGGCAGCAGUGGGGAAUUUUGCGCAAUGGGGGAAACCCUGACGCAGCAACGCCGCGUGAGCGAUGAAGGCUUUCGGGUCGUAAAGCUCUGUCAGUGGGGAAGAAAUGGGACUGGCUAAUAUCCAGUCUUCUUGACGGUACCCACAAAGGAAGCACCGGCUAACUCCGUGCCAGCAGCCGCGGUAAUACGGGGGGUGCAAGCGUUGUUCGGAUUUAUUGGGCGUAAAGCGCGUGUAGGCGGUUUCUUAAGUCUGAUGUGAAAGCCCUGGGCUCAACCCAGGAAGUGCAUUGGAAACUGGGAGACUUGAAUACGGGAGAGGGUAGUGGAAUUCCUAGUGUAGGAGUGAAAUCCGUAGAUAUUAGGAGGACACCGGGUGGCCGAAAGCGGCUACCUGGACCGAUAUUGAACCCUGAAACGCCAAAACCUUGGGGGACAAAAAAGGAUUAGAUACCCUGGUAGUCCACCCC
This 819-nucleotide ribosomal RNA is filed under the name uncultured Geobacter sp. RNAcentral's name for it is "bacterial SSU rRNA". It matches the Rfam family "Bacterial small subunit ribosomal RNA", at positions 8 to 801 of the family's 1533-position model. Lineage: Bacteria; Pseudomonadati; Thermodesulfobacteriota; Desulfuromonadia; Geobacterales; Geobacteraceae. The record is from RNAcentral.